AUGCUGAGAGUACAACUAGUACAACUGCCUUCCAAGCAGGAAGUCCAAAUACAGGUUAGCAUA
This 63-nucleotide transfer RNA is filed under the name Lampsilis siliquoidea. Its description in RNAcentral is "tRNA-Gly". The record is from RNAcentral. Lineage: Eukaryota; Metazoa; Mollusca; Bivalvia; Unionida; Unionidae.